This 87-nucleotide transfer RNA is filed under the name Lentisphaeria bacterium. RNAcentral's name for it is "tRNA-Leu". It matches the Rfam family "tRNA". Rfam says of the family: Transfer RNA (tRNA) molecules are approximately 80 nucleotides in length. Their secondary structure includes four short double-helical elements and three loops (D, anti-codon, and T loops). The record is from RNAcentral. RNAcentral also lists the same sequence under 1 other name. Lineage: Bacteria; Pseudomonadati; Lentisphaerota; Lentisphaeria.
GCUCGGGUGGCGGAAUUGGCAGACGCGCUAGCUUGAGGGGCUAGUGGUAGCAAUACCGUGCGGGUUCGACUCCCGCUCCGAGCACCA